GAUGAACGCUGGCGGCGUGCCUAAUACAUGCAAGUCGAGCGAACAGAUGAGGAGCCUGCUCCUCUGGCGUUAGCGGCGGACGGGUGAGUAACACGUGGAUAACCUACCUAUAAGACUGGGAUAACUUCGGGAAACCGGAGCUAAUACCGGAUAAUAUAUUGAACCGCAUGGUUCAAUAGUGAAAGACGGUUUUGCUGUCACUUAUAGAUGGAUCCGCGCCGCAUUAGCUAGUUGGUAAGGUAACGGCUUACCAAGGCAACGAUGCGUAGCCGACCUGAGAGGGUGAUCGGCCACACUGGAACUGAGACACGGUCCAGACUCCUACGGGAGGCAGCAGUAGGGAAUCUUCCGCAAUGGGCGAAAGCCUGACGGAGCAACGCCGCGUGAGUGAUGAAGGUCUUCGGAUCGUAAAACUCUGUUAUUAGGGAAGAACAAAUGUGUAAGUAACUAUGCACGUCUUGACGGUACCUAAUCAGAAAGCCACGGCUAACUACGUG
This 497-nucleotide ribosomal RNA is filed under the name uncultured bacterium. Its description in RNAcentral is "partial 16S ribosomal RNA". It matches the Rfam family "Bacterial small subunit ribosomal RNA", at positions 28 to 507 of the family's 1533-position model. The record is from RNAcentral.